CAUUAUUUUGGCAAAAUAAAUAAUUAACCAUAAUCUGGAAUUCCAAAAUCAAACUUCCAUUUCAAAAUUGUCUUUCCUAAUGCCUGGCUUUCUGGAUGGAUCAAAAGGCCCCUGAAAACAUCCAGAAAAGAGGAGUUUGCAGCCAGCCUUAUACAUGGAUUACCUUAUACUUUGAUUGAUAAAGAAUAAAGGCCCAAUGUAGGACAUAUUGGAGACACUGGUAAUUUCCCCAAGGCUUUGACUGGAAUGACAUCUUUUCAGAUACGACGAGACUGGUUUGAGGAAUUAAAGUUGACUUUAUAGACUGUACCCUGUCUACAUGGUUCUCUUACAAGGUUCCUGACCUUGUUGCAACAGCAGCUACAUAAAUCAAUGGCUUGACCAAGUUCUCACUUUUGCCACUCUGUGAUGCCAUCCCAAAUGAGCUUUGGGGGACUCUUAAAAAAAAAUCCUUACUGAGACUGCCUCCCUUUCCCCCUUUGACAUGGGACAGAACUCUCUGGAAAUGAGCCUUCCCAGUGACAAGGGACACUUGGACAGUUAGAUUUUGAUCACAGGUGCUUUCAAGAAGAAAGAUUUUCAUCAAAAGGGGGUAAAUAAAAAAGAAAAAAAAAAACGUUUUACAUGAGGAAUAUGAGCCCCUUUAAAUUAUCAGGCCCAGAAAGGCAUUUAAAAUGUAACAUCAGUCCUGUCUCACUCCCUCUUGAGCUAAAUAAUUACCUCUUAAAGACACUUGUUAUGUGGGCCCUAGACCAUCUUGAUGCCAAAUAGCUAUAAAAUAUCAUACACCUAUAAUUUAGCAAUGUAUAAUCAAUCACCACCCAAUGUUAUUUUUGUAAACCAAUGAGAAUUACUGACAAAUAACUUUUUGUAAUCACCUCUCCUCCUGAUUUGUUCUUUUUUUUUCUUUAAAAACUUGAACUGCUCUUUUGUUCUCCAGGGCAUGUCCCAAGGCAACUUGGAAGUGUGUCCCAGGAUGUAUCCCUCAACAUUUGUGUUUGAAUAAAUUCUCUUUAAACUAUA
Long non-coding RNA from Macaca mulatta (Rhesus monkey), 1023 nucleotides. RefSeq lists it as uncharacterized. Lineage: Eukaryota; Metazoa; Chordata; Mammalia; Primates; Cercopithecidae. The record is from RefSeq and is a predicted model, not a curated record.